CGGCGAGUGGCGAACGGGUGAGUAAUACAUCGGAACGUGUCCUGGAGUGGGGGAUAGCCCGGCGAAAGCCGGAUUAAUACCGCAUACGCUCUGUGGAGGAAAGCGGGGGAUCUUCGGACCUCGCGCUCAAGGGGCGGCCGAUGGCAGAUUAGCUAGUUGGUGGGGUAAAGGCCUACCAAGGCGACGAUCUGUAGCUGGUCUGAGAGGACGACCAGCCACACUGGGACUGAGACACGGCCCAGACUCCUACGGGAGGCAGCAGUGGGGAAUUUUGGACAAUGGGGGCAACCCUGAUCCAGCAAUGCCGCGUGUGUGAAGAAGGCYUUCGGGUUGUAAAGCACUUUUGUCCGGAAAGAAAACCGCUUCUCUAAUACGGAGGCGGGAUGACGGUACCGGAAGAAUAAGCACCGGCUAACUACGU
RNAcentral lists this ribosomal RNA (421 nucleotides) under uncultured bacterium. Its description in RNAcentral is "bacterial SSU rRNA". It matches the Rfam family "Bacterial small subunit ribosomal RNA", at positions 89 to 506 of the family's 1533-position model. The record is from RNAcentral.